CCUACGGGAGGCAGCAGUGGGGAAUAUUGGACAAUGGGGGCAACCCUGAUCCAGCCAUGCCGCGUGUGUGAAGAAGGCCCUCGGGUUGUAAGGCACUUUCAGUGAGGAAGAACGCCUGGUGGUGAAUACCCAUCAGGAAAGACAUCACUCACAGAAGAAGCACCGGCUAACUCCGUGCCAGCAGCCGCGGUAAUACGGAGGGUGCGAGCGUUAAUCGGAAUUACUGGGCGUAAAGCGCGCGUAGGUGGCUUGAUAAGCCGGUUGUGAAAGCCCCGGGCUCAACCUGGGAACGGCAUCCGGAACUGUCAAGCUAGAGUGCAGGAGAGGAAGGUAGAAUUCCCGGUGUAGCGGUGAAAUGCGUAGAGAUCGGGAGGAAUACCAGUGGCGAAGGCGGCCUUCUGGACUGACACUGACACUGAGGUGCGAAAGCGUGGGUAGCAAACAGGAUUAGAUACCCGAGUAGUC
RNAcentral lists this ribosomal RNA (465 nucleotides) under Vreelandella stevensii. Its description in RNAcentral is "partial 16S ribosomal RNA". It matches the Rfam family "Bacterial small subunit ribosomal RNA", at positions 338 to 795 of the family's 1533-position model. Lineage: Bacteria; Pseudomonadati; Pseudomonadota; Gammaproteobacteria; Oceanospirillales; Halomonadaceae. The record is from RNAcentral.